This 515-nucleotide ribosomal RNA is filed under the name uncultured bacterium. RNAcentral describes it as "partial 16S ribosomal RNA". It matches the Rfam family "Bacterial small subunit ribosomal RNA", at positions 28 to 523 of the family's 1533-position model. The record is from RNAcentral.
GACGAACGCUGGCGGCGUACCUAAUACAUGCAAGUCGAGCGGACUUUCAAGAAGCUUGCUUUUUGAAAGUUAGCGGCGGACGGGUGAGUAGCACGUGGGCAACCUGCCUGUAAGACGGGGAUAACUCCGGGAAACCGGGGCUAAUACCGGAUAAUAUCUUUCUUCGCAUGAAGGAAGGUUGAAAGGCGGCGCAAGCUGCCGCUUGCAGAUGGGCCCGCGGCGCAUUAGCUAGUUGGUGAGGUAACGGCUCACCAAGGCGACGAUGCGUAGCCGACCUGAGAGGGUGAUCGGCCACACUGGGACUGAGACACGGCCCAGACUCCUACGGGAGGCAGCAGUAGGGAAUCUUCCGCAAUGGACGAAAGUCUGACGGAGCAACGCCGCGUGAGCGAAGAAGGUCUUCGGAUCGUAAAGCUCUGUUGUCAGGGAAGAACAAGUACCGUUCGAAUAGGGCGGUACCUUGACGGUACCUGACCAGAAAGCCACGGCUAACUACGUGCCAGCCGCCGCAGUAA